RNAcentral lists this non-coding RNA (67 nucleotides) under Gallaecimonas pentaromativorans. The record is from RNAcentral. Lineage: Bacteria; Pseudomonadati; Pseudomonadota; Gammaproteobacteria; Enterobacterales; Gallaecimonadaceae.
CAUCGCACGACAUUGCUCACAUUGCUUCCUAUUGGAAUACAGCCGGCCCUCAAGCCGGCUUCUUUUU